UACGGAGGGUGCAAGCGUUAUCCGGAUUCACUGGGUUUAAAGGGUGCGUAGGCGGGCAUUUAAGUCAGUGGUGAAAUACCUGAGCUUAACUUGGGAACUGCCAUUGAUACUAUUUGUCUUGAAUGUCGUGGAGGUUAGCGGAAUAUGUCAUGUAGCGGUGAAAUGCUUAGAUAUGACAUAGAACACCAAUUGCGAAGGCAGCUUACUACACAAAUAUUGACGCUGAGGCACGAAAGCGUGGGGAUCAAACAGG
Molecule: ribosomal RNA, 253 nt
Filed under: uncultured bacterium
Lineage: Bacteria
Description: partial 16S ribosomal RNA
Rfam family: Bacterial small subunit ribosomal RNA
Source: RNAcentral